Molecule: non-coding RNA, 21 nt
Filed under: Caenorhabditis elegans
Lineage: Eukaryota; Metazoa; Nematoda; Chromadorea; Rhabditida; Rhabditidae
Source: RNAcentral
UGAAAGUUUUUCACAAGUUCA